CUUUCAGGGUGGAGCCUGCUGGAGUCCCAUUCUUGGUACCAGGUUUGUGGAAGUAUUCCUGUCAACUCACCAUCGACACAAACACAGUGAACAGAAAACUCAAACUGUCUGAAGACAACAGGAAGGUGACAUGUGUGGAGGAGCUUCAGUCAUAUCCUGAUCAUCCAGACAGAUUUGAUGAACCUCAGCUGCUGUGUAGAACUGGUCUGACUGGUCGCUGUUACUGGGAGGUCGAGUGGAGAGGAAGAGUUUUUAUUUCAGUGAGUUACAGAAGAAUCAGGAGGAAAGGAGACAGUAGAGACUGUUUGUUUGGAUUCAAUGAUCAUUCCUGGAGUCUGAGAUGCUCUAAUGAUGGUUACUCUGUCUGGCACAAUAACAUAAAAACUCGUCUCUCCUCCUCCUCCUCCUCCUCCGUCUCUAACAGAGUAUCAGUGUAUGUGGACUGUCCUGCUGGCAUUCUGUCCUUCUACAGAGUCUCCUCUGACUCACUGAUCCUCCUC
Molecule: long non-coding RNA, 500 nt
Organism: Poecilia latipinna (sailfin molly)
Lineage: Eukaryota; Metazoa; Chordata; Actinopteri; Cyprinodontiformes; Poeciliidae
Exons: 2
Source: RefSeq, a predicted model, not a curated record